Molecule: ribosomal RNA, 253 nt
Filed under: uncultured bacterium
Lineage: Bacteria
Description: partial 16S ribosomal RNA
Rfam family: Bacterial small subunit ribosomal RNA
Source: RNAcentral
UACGGAGGGGGCUAGCGUUGUUCGGAAUUACUGGGCGUAAAGCGCACGUAGGCGGCUUUGUAAGUUAGAGGUGAAAGCCCAGGGCUUAACCCUGGAAUUGCCUUUAAGACUGCAUCGCUAGAAUCGUGGAGAGGUGAGUGGAAUUCCGAGUGUAGAGGUGAAAUUCGUAGAUAUUCGGAAGAACACCAGUGGCGAAGGCGGCUCACUGGACCGGCAUUGACGCUGAGGUGCGAAAGCGUGGGGAGCAAACAGG